UACGUAGGUGGCAAGCGUUGUCCGGAAUUAUUGGGCGUAAAGCGCGCGCAGGUGGUUUCUUAAGUCUGAUGUGAAAGCCCACGGCUCAACCGUGGAGGGUCAUUGGAAACUGGGGAACUUGAGUGCAGGAGAGAAGAGUGGAAUUCCACGUGUAGCGGUGAAAUGCGUAGAGAUGUGGAGGAACACCAGUGGCGAAGGCGACUUUUUGGCCUGUAACUGACACUGAGGCGCGAAAGCGUGGGGAGCAAACAGG
Molecule: ribosomal RNA, 253 nt
Filed under: uncultured bacterium
Lineage: Bacteria
Description: partial 16S ribosomal RNA
Rfam family: Bacterial small subunit ribosomal RNA
Source: RNAcentral